CAUGGCAGUCCUUGGCUCCACACUGCUGCCACUCGGGCUGUUUCUAUGCUUCGGACUGCUGUGUUCUUCUGCCAGCUCUGCAGGUGAAAUUGACAAAUGCAUGUUCUUCAGUGAGGUCACCACCACUGGCCCAGGCAUCAUGGUCAAUUCAGAUGUCUAUGACAGCAACAGAAACUACACAGUAUGGGUUCCUGUGAAUGCCAAUAUCAGCUCUGUGGUCCUGCGAGCAGUGGAUGAGAACAACACCUCACUAGGCCUCUGGGAAAAAGCAGAUGAGCUUUGCAACAGCAGCGCCCUGUAUCACCUGGAGAACUUGAAUGACAAGCUCUUCACAGCAAACUGGGUAUCUCCUAACUCCGAAAACAUAACCACAAUCGAGCUACAAGCCUUUGCUAUCAAUUUCUACAACAUGGCUACAUUUUCUUCUCUGCAACUAAGAAGAAAAGGUAGCAACAUUCUGAGAAUCCAUUGUGUGCUAGUUGCUAUGUGGAGAGUGAAAUAAAACCCUACAUUUAAGAAGUUUAGAAUACAAAUGAGAACACUUCUUUGUGCGAAGCAAGCAAAUCCUUUCUUGCGGAUUUAGUCAUGAAGAAAAGAUACCAGGUGCCAAGAAUAUAGUUCAACUGAAGCAGUGCGGGUCCCAACUUUCCCACUGAAGCUUCUUCCACAGGCCCCAUCUAACUUUAUUACAUGCCAUGAUGAGUUACUUCUACUAAGGGGACUAUGUGGUGUCCCUCAGGUACACAAAAGUGGCGAAGAGUAUAGAGAACCUGUCUUCCAGUAUUUGGCCAUCCGCAUGCAUGAGACGCCUCAAAUUUCCCAUACUGCUGUCUUGUAUUGUACAACACUCUGUGUAUAUAUUUUAAA
This is an RNA transcript of Panthera uncia (snow leopard), 867 nucleotides long. It is a transcript of the gene named placenta expressed transcript 1, with no coding region annotated. The transcript has 5 exons. The record is from RefSeq and is a predicted model, not a curated record. Lineage: Eukaryota; Metazoa; Chordata; Mammalia; Carnivora; Felidae.